Molecule: long non-coding RNA, 1426 nt
Filed under: Equus caballus (horse)
Lineage: Eukaryota; Metazoa; Chordata; Mammalia; Perissodactyla; Equidae
Description: lncRNA (ENSECAG00000047016.1)
Source: RNAcentral
AUUUUCACAAAGUACCAAAGCCUUGUAUAACCACUUCCUUGAAGAUGUCUUCCAUUUUCUGAAACCACAUCAAUCCACCUAUUUGUAGAAGAGUUAGAAUAUCAAGACAUCUAAGGAAAAAUCAUACCUUGAAAAAUCACAUAUGAGGUCCCCAGUCACAUCAGGUCACUCCUCCGUUUUUGGACUUGGAUGAAAUAACACUCUAGAGUACAAGGGAUCUCUCUUCCUGAGUGGCACUGAGGGAGUCAGAUGAUGUAACAGUAUAAAGAGAAGUUCUAUGUGUUGAGUGAGUACAUCUGCUAAGCAACCUGAGGCAUCUCUUAGUGACUCAUCAUGCAAUGGUGACCAGUGUUGUAACACAAUGCAUUAAAUUGCUUUGCAACUUCCUUGCCCCACUUCUGUUUUUCCUUCUUACGUUAGUGGGCUUGCAUCUUCCAGAUAAAAUAAUAACAUCUUAAUCUUGACUUCAAGCUCUCCUUUUUAAAGGAUUGAGCUAAGUCACCUUAUUUGUAUCAUUAGUUUUCAAGCCAACUAGUACUUUACGUUCUUUUCAUUCCCACUGUCAAAUCCUUGCUCAAGAUCCUAUAGUCACAUAAAAUUUUCAAAAACAAUAAUUACAAUCUUAUGCUACAAUAGUACAAAGUUCCAAAUAUAGGAAUACUGAAUUUCUGACAUUAGAUUAUUUGUAAAACAUUUAUGGAGAAUCCAAAUAAUCAUCAGAAGCAGUGCAAAGAAGUUCAAGACCUAGUCUCUGCCUUUAUGAAGCCCCAUUUAGUAGCCUAGAGAUUGGUAAUGGGAUAGUUGCAAACAGAGAGGUAUAGUAAUGCAGGUAUAGUAAACAUGUGGGCUCUUACAGGUGGCAAGCAGGACAAGUUAUUAUACAAGUCUUUCUCAUAUCUCUGAAAUCAUAUCACAUAAACAACUAAACAGAAACCCAGAAUUCACUGAACCAACUCUGUUUCGUUAUGAAAACAGCCGCUCAGCAGCAGCAAAGGGGCUAACUGGUACAUUUCAUAGCAAUGAAAACAACCUGCAAAGAUAUUUGGAUGCAGAAAAAUGGAAGCAUAUUGAUAACCUGGCCUAGAAUGGUAACAUUUCUAUUACAUAGUUCAACAAAAAUAAAGCGAUUUUAACAGAAUCAUGUCAAAGGACCCAUGUCUCAUGCUUUGAAAACAAAUGUGUUGGCUUCCAGUCAACAUUUCCAGGGCUUAGCAGCAGGAGGUCAUUACCCUUUGACAAUGUUUGGUUACACAGACAUUAUCUCCAAUUAACAGGUUUUAACAACAAGGAUUUCUCUUUUAUUUGAAAAUGGUGUUAUUUUUUAAAUAAAUAACUACAGAAGUUAUUCAGUAAUCUUGUCUCAUUGACUUGGACUGGAUUAUAUUUACUCCUGUAAACACACACACACACACACACACAUCUGAGG